CCUACGGGAGGCUGCAGUGGGGAAUAUUGCACAAUGGGGGAAACCCUGAUGCAGCGACGCCGCGUGAGUUAAGAAGUAUCUCGGUACGUAAAGCUCUAUCAGCAGGGAAGAAAAUGACGGUACCUGACUAAUAAGCCCCGGCUAACUACGUGCCAGCAGCCGCGGUAAUACGUAGGGGUCAAGCGUUAGCCGGAUUUACUGGGUGUAAAGGGAGCGUAGACGGCAGCACCAGUCUGGAGUGAAAUCCCUGGGCUUAACCCCGGCACUGCAUUGGAAACUGUGCGGCUUGAGUGCAGGAGGGGUAAGCGGAAUUCCUAGUGUAGCGGUGAAAUGCGUAGAUAUUAGGAGGAACACCGGUGGCGAAGGCGGCUUACUGGACUGUAACUGACGUUGAGGCUCGAAAGCGUGGGGAGCAAACAGGAUUAGAUACCCGUGUAGUC
This 440-nucleotide ribosomal RNA is filed under the name uncultured bacterium. Its description in RNAcentral is "partial 16S ribosomal RNA". It matches the Rfam family "Bacterial small subunit ribosomal RNA", at positions 338 to 795 of the family's 1533-position model. The record is from RNAcentral.